Molecule: ribosomal RNA, 324 nt
Filed under: uncultured eukaryote
Lineage: Eukaryota
Description: partial 18S ribosomal RNA
Rfam family: Eukaryotic small subunit ribosomal RNA
Source: RNAcentral
CCCUUAGAUGUUCUUGGCUGCACGCGCGCUACACUGAAGCUAUCAACACGUUUUCCCUCCCUGAGAAGGGCGGGUAACCUUUUGAAUCAGCUUCGUGGUAGGGAUCGGGGCUUGCAAUUGUUCCCCGUGAACCAGGAAUUCCUAGUAGACGCGAGUCAUAAGCUCGCAUCGAUUAAGUCCCUGCCCUUUGUACACACCGCCCGUCGCUACUACCGAUUGAACGUUUUAGUGAGGCAUUUGGACCGACGCAUCUCAGUUUAACCGCUGGUUUGUGUUGGAAAGGCUUCCAAACUUGAGCGUUUAGAGGAAGUAAAAGUCGUAACA